This 270-nucleotide long non-coding RNA is filed under the name Mytilus galloprovincialis (Mediterranean mussel). Lineage: Eukaryota; Metazoa; Mollusca; Bivalvia; Mytilida; Mytilidae. The record is from RNAcentral.
UGGGAAUUUCGGCAUUCUGAUGUUUUUGGUUGUAGAUGUGAAUGUGGGGAUAUUUCCCCAUUCUAAUGUUAUUGGUUUUAUAUGUGUAGUGUAUGUGGGGAUUUUCCCCACUGGUACGUUUUUCAAUUCAAGAAUACUAGUUUUCUUCAUUGAGUGGGGAGAUUUCCUCAAAUUUGAUAAAAUCAUGUAAGCGCAUUUCCAUUAACUUAUAGAUUUGUUGACAAAAAGUGUUUAUUUCAAUUCACAUCGUCAACCGAAUUUGAAACCACC